AGGUCCUUCAGAAAUGCUCUUAAC
RNAcentral lists this non-coding RNA (24 nucleotides) under Mus musculus (house mouse). Lineage: Eukaryota; Metazoa; Chordata; Mammalia; Rodentia; Muridae. The record is from RNAcentral.